CCUACGGGGCGCAGCAGUGAGGAAUAUUGGUCAAUGGGCGAGAGCCUGAACCAGCCAAGUCGCGUGAAGGAUGACGGCCCUACGGGUUGUAAACUUCUUUUGUCAGGGAGCAAUUGAGUCCACGUGUGGGCUUAGCGAGAGUACCUGAAGAAAAAGCAUCGGCUAACUCCGUGCCAGCAGCCGCGGUAAUACGGAGGAUGCGAGUGUUAUCCGGAUUUAUUGGGUUUAAAGGGUGCGUAGGCGGAAUAUCAAGUCAGCGGUAAAAAUUCGGGGCUCAACCCCGUCGUGCCGUUGAAACUGAUGUUCUGGAGUGGGCGAGAAGUAUGCGGAAUGCGUGGUGUAGCGGUGAAAUGCAUAGAUAUCACGCAGAACUCCGAUUGCGAAGGCAGCAUACCGGCGCCCAACUGACGCUGAAGCACGAAAGCGUGGGUAUCGAACAGGAUUAGAUACCCGAGUAGUC
RNAcentral lists this ribosomal RNA (460 nucleotides) under uncultured bacterium. RNAcentral describes it as "partial 16S ribosomal RNA". It matches the Rfam family "Bacterial small subunit ribosomal RNA", at positions 338 to 795 of the family's 1533-position model. The record is from RNAcentral.